GACGAACGCUGGCGGCGUGCUUAACACAUGCAAGUCGAACGCUGAAGCUCAGCUUUUGUUGGGUGGAUGAGUGGCGAACGGGUGAGUAACACGUGAGUAACCUGCCUCCUUCUUUGGGAUAACGCCCGGAAACGGGUGCUAAUACUGGAUAUUCACUGGUCUUCGCAUGGGGGUUGGUGGAAAGGGUUUUUCUGGUGGGGGAUGGGCUCGCGGCCUAUCAGCUUGUUGGUGGGGUGAUGGCCUACCAAGGCUUUGACGGGUAGCCGGCCUGAGAGGGUGACCGGUGACAUUGGGACUGAGAUACGGCCCAGACUACUACGGGAGGCAGAAGUGGGGAAUAUUGCACAAUGGGCGCAAGCCUGAUGCAGCGACGCCGAGUGAGGGAUGGAGGCCUUAGGGUUGUGAACCUCUUUCGCUAAUGGUCAAGCCGCAACAAUGGUUGUGGUGAGGGUAGUGGGUAAAGAAGCGCCGGCUAACUACGUG
RNAcentral lists this ribosomal RNA (483 nucleotides) under uncultured bacterium. RNAcentral's name for it is "partial 16S ribosomal RNA". It matches the Rfam family "Bacterial small subunit ribosomal RNA", at positions 28 to 507 of the family's 1533-position model. The record is from RNAcentral.